GGGGAGUUGAUAUACCAUGGAUUUUAUCCACUUUCAGUUAUGUAUAAGUGUUUUAAGAUAUAAUUAUUAUGUUUUGGAGUCUUUUUAGAGUAUUUACAGGUUCAGGUACGUUCUGGAGAAAUAUGGUGAUUUGGGAGCCUUUUGAGGUGCAGAACUGCACAGACGCGUCAUAUGUUUAUCUAUGUAUGGAGACCUUUCCACCGUUAUAUUGAGCCCAUCGCUUAACACAAGAUAGAUCUUUGCGUUAGCUUUCCAUUUCCGCCAGUUUGAGGUCAAUCAGCAUACUGUAGCAGAAGUUAUGCACGUUUUAUUGAAUGACUGUCGAUCGAUGAAACAUAAUUGGCGUCGGUCGACGGUGAUGCCAGAACGUGGGCCAAGCAUUAUUUCGAGACCGACUGAAGCCCAGAAGCCACACAAAGUUACCAAAAUACCCAUGGACGAACAUAAACCCUAUUUAUGUUAUUUAUAAGCCAUUGUUGACGGCUACGCUGUCUAAGCUUUCUUUAGUUCAUAGUUCUUAGUAACGAGAGAAAGGAGGAACUCCUUCAGAGUCCUCCUGGAACUCCUUUGGUUUAUCAUUGCUUUUAUCUAUUCUAUUAUAUCUAUUCAUCUAUG
This 615-nucleotide long non-coding RNA is filed under the name Brassica napus (rape). RNAcentral's name for it is "long non-coding RNA (BNAP_LNC007793)". The record is from RNAcentral. Lineage: Eukaryota; Viridiplantae; Streptophyta; Magnoliopsida; Brassicales; Brassicaceae.